Molecule: long non-coding RNA, 1518 nt
Filed under: Canis lupus dingo (dingo)
Lineage: Eukaryota; Metazoa; Chordata; Mammalia; Carnivora; Canidae
Description: lncRNA (ENSCAFG00020019066.1)
Source: RNAcentral
AUGCACACUCACCCCGCACGCUCAUUCACACCACCAUGCACAUUCACCCUGCACGCUCAUUCACACCAUCGCACACACUCACCAUGCACUCACGCCACAGCACCUCUCGUACUACACCUACCCCACCUAUGCGGCACACUCGUUCACACCACCUCACGCUCAUAUGCUGCGCACAACCUGCACUUAUUCACACAACUCCACACUUGCACACCUGACACCCAAUGCCCACACUCACACACUCACACGUCCUGCACCGUUUCACACAAUCCCACACACUGCACACCCAACGCUCACACUGUACACAGCCCUCACAGCCUGCGCACCCUCGUUGACACACAUACUCCCACUUCCACACCUGACACCCAACACACACACUCUCACACCGUGCACACCCAUUCACAUGACCCCACGUUCACAAACCUCACACCUCCACACCCCUACACACUGCACAUACGCCACACACCCUUCACACUCAUUCACGUGACCCUACACUCGCACACCCAUACCCCGACACCCACAUUCACACACAUUCUGUAUGUACAUAGAAGCCACAACAUUGCACUCAUUUACACAACACACAUGCCCAUGUGCCUCACGCAGUGCAACACAACCCGCAUACCUCACAGACUGCACUCACAGUUUGCAUUACACACCUCAUACACACAGCACCCCUUUGCACACUUAGAUACAACUUACCCAGUCUCAGGUUCACACCGGGCUCUUCUGUCCUGGCUCGGCCCCGCAGGUGAUUGCGGGGGGCGAGUGGCUGUAAGCCACGCACCCCCCCCCCCAAGCACGUUAAGGAAACAGAGGGUGAUUAAUCAUCAUUUAGCAAGUGUGCCCUUGCUCUUUGGAUGCUGUCUGUUCCUCAGGGCCACGCCGUGCGUGUCUUCUCGUCCUCUAUUUGUGGGUGAGACCCAGGCUCGGGGAGGGGAGGGGAGGGGAGGUGCCCAGGCCGCCUGCUCUCUGGAGCAGCGGGGCCUUAGCGGCCGGAGCACGUCCUCUUGCCCAAAUGGGUUUAAGGCUUUAGCUCCCGCAGGCGCCCGGCGAGCGGAGGCUCAGCCUGUGUCGCAGCAGGCGCCGUGUCCGGGGAAGGCGAGCAGGCGGCUGCCGAGACUCAGAGGACUCCAAACGCGCAGAGAAGCUUUACCGCCAACUCUGGCAAAACAGCCAGGACUGCGAGCGCCCAGAGCCCAGAGCAGGGCCGUCCGAGCACCCAUGGGCUCCCCAUGCCCCCCGCCUGCGGGCCCUGGGCAGCCCUUCAGCACUGAGCCGGUCGGGGAGCGCCCCCAGGCGCCCCAUGGUCUCUUCGGACCAGGCUCACCUUUCUCCUUCCCGGGCCUGGCGCCUGGUCUGAAUUUUGGAUGUUAUUUAAUUAUUCAAUUUUUAGCGAGUGCGCGUGAGCAAGAAAGAGCAGGGGCGGGAAGCAGGGGCAGAGAGGGAAUCCUUAGCAGGCUCCAGGCCCAGCAUGCAGCCCGUUGUGAGGCUGCAUCUCACGGCCCUGAGAUCAUGACCUGA